This is a long non-coding RNA of Nicotiana tabacum (common tobacco), 1076 nucleotides long. RefSeq lists it as uncharacterized. The record is from RefSeq and is a predicted model, not a curated record. NCBI's taxonomy places the organism in Eukaryota, Viridiplantae, Streptophyta, Magnoliopsida, Solanales, Solanaceae.
AUGCCACCUUCACAGAACCAGUAGCCCGCCGGAAAUUAGCCAUACACGCACGAAAAUCAGAAGGACUGAAAAAUCAGAAAUCUGGAGCGUAUCUUUUCAACAAUAAGACCCCCCCCCCUUUUCGAUCGUUUCUUCUCUUCUCCUUCAAAAGAUCGGCGGAUUUUCACCAGAAAAGGACCCUUCCUCAUCCGUUUCUGAUUUUCUUGAUAAAUAAACGAGAAGCAACAUAAAUUUGACCUUCCUCUCAGAAACCUAGACAAAAUAAAGAACCUCAGGGACUAAAUCAGCCGAAAACCAACAAAGAACACACACACAGUCACACGCCGGAGAUUCACCUUCACAGACUCUUGGUCUCACACGUCCUUCACUCACUGUCGAAGAGAGCCAAAGUGGAUUCGAAUUAUUUCUGGAUUUGGAAACAUAACCCUUCAAAAACUGAAAACAAAGAUAGAAACAAACGGGAAUUUCCCGAUUUCAUGGGAAUUUUGUUAAUUCAUAUGGUUUUCCAGUAAAGUUCAGUCCGUCGAUGUCGAUUCGAGGUCUGUUGUUGAGUUCUUGGUCGCGGUUCCUGUUGAAUCUUGAUUUUCAACAGUUGUUUUUCAUUUCAAGUGUGUCGCCAAGUCUUCUUCUGCUUGUAAUCAUUUCAAACAGAUUUAAUCGAAAGAAUUUUCAGACAUUCUGAUGGUAAAUUGAUUCUCAAGGUCACUGAUGAAUACGAGCUUCUAUCUUUGCAUUGCAAUCUAGUGCUAAUGUUUGGGUUCCUUGUGUUGUCAUUCUCUCUUGAAUCUUAUUGGGUGUAUGUAAAAGCUGAAAUUCUGCACGAGCUUUGCUGUAUAAUGACGUUCGUGUUUUAUAAAGAAGCACAAAUUAGCUUGUCUUAAGCUUUGAUGAUCGGAAUCAAUUAGUUUCAUGUUUUGGCAUCUGAUACACGACCAAUAGGGAGCUUUAUUUGUUCUGAAUGUUGGUAGUAUUGGCCAGUUUAUGUUGAAUAGCCUGUUUGUUAAUAGCGGUUCAACAACAUUGAGAUUCUGUUAAACUUUGAAAUUUUGUAUAGUAAGUGUUAUAUGUUCCUAGUU